GGUUAAGAUCCCAGGAAGACUACCUGGUUGAUAGGUCAGAGGUGUAAGUGCAGCAAUGUAUGUAGCUUACUGAUACUAAUAGAUCGAGGACUUGACCAA
Molecule: ribosomal RNA, 99 nt
Filed under: Peptostreptococcus anaerobius
Lineage: Bacteria; Bacillati; Bacillota; Clostridia; Peptostreptococcales; Peptostreptococcaceae
Also listed under: 2 other names
Description: partial 23S ribosomal RNA
Rfam family: Bacterial large subunit ribosomal RNA
Source: RNAcentral